This 69-nucleotide transfer RNA is filed under the name Urophora cardui. RNAcentral's name for it is "tRNA-Leu". The record is from RNAcentral. Lineage: Eukaryota; Metazoa; Arthropoda; Insecta; Diptera; Tephritidae.
ACUAUUUUGGCAGAUUAGUGCAAUAAAUUUAGAAUUUAUAAAUGUAAUUUUUAUUAAUACAAAUAGUAC